CUGGUUGAUCCUGCCGGAGGUCACUGCUAUUGGGAUUCGACUAAGCCAUGCGAGUCGAGAGGGUUCGGCCCUCGGCUGACGGCUCAGUAACACGCGGAUAAUCUGCCCUUAGGUGGAGGAUAAUCUCGGGAAACUGAGAAUAAUACUCCAUAAGCCUAGGAUGCUGGAAUGCACUUAGGCUGAAAGCUUCGGUGCCCAAGGAUGAGUCUGCGGACUAUCAGGUUGUAGUCAGGGUAACGACCUGACUAGCCUACGACGGAUACGGGUUGUGAGAGCAAUAACCCGGAGAUGAUAUCUGAGACACGAUAUCAGGCCCUACGGGGCGCAGCAGGCGCGAAAACUUCGCAAUGUGCGAAAGCACGACGAGGGAAUCCCAAGUGCUGGCUCGUUAGAGUCAGCUGUUUUUAUGUCUAAAAAGCAUAGAGAGUAAGAGCUGGGUAAGACGGGUGCCAGCCGCCGCGGUAAUACCUGCAGCUCGAGUGGUGGCCGCUAUUAUUGGGCCUAAAACGUCCGUAGCCUGUUUACUAAAUGCCUAGGUAAAUUGUGUGGCUUAACCAUACGAAUUCUGGGUAGACUGGUAAAACUUGAGACCGGGAGAAGCUAGAGGUACUCCUGGGGUAGAGGUGAAAUUCUGUAAUCCUAGGGGGACCACCAGUGGCGAAGGCGUCUAGCUAGAACGGGUUUGACGGUGAGGGACGAAGCCCUGGGGCGCAAACGGGAUUAGAUACCCCGGUAGUCCAGGGUGUAAACGCUGCUUGCUUGAUGUUGGUUGGGCUCCGAGCCCAAUCAGUGUCGGAGAGAAGUUGUUAAGCAAGCUGCCUGGGAAGUACGGCCGCAAGACUGAAACUUAAAGGAAUUGGCGGGGGAGCACCGCAACG
RNAcentral lists this ribosomal RNA (878 nucleotides) under uncultured archaeon. RNAcentral describes it as "bacterial SSU rRNA". It matches the Rfam family "Archaeal small subunit ribosomal RNA", at positions 4 to 886 of the family's 1478-position model. The record is from RNAcentral.